GGUCAGUAGGUUGGUCGUGCCACCGGUACGUACUGGUCUCACUGAUUCCUCCUUCCUGAAGAACCGUAAUGCCAUUAAUUUGGUGUUGCGGGGAAACAGGACUGUUACUUUGAAAAGAUUAGAGUGUUUAAAGCAAGCUAACGCUUGAAUACAUUAGCAUGGAAUAAUGAAAUAGGACGAUCGAUCCUAUUUUGUUGGUUUCUAGGAUUGACGUA
This 215-nucleotide ribosomal RNA is filed under the name Glomeromycotina sp. RNAcentral's name for it is "partial small subunit ribosomal RNA". The stretch from base 39 to 215 matches the Rfam family "Eukaryotic small subunit ribosomal RNA", at positions 686 to 864 of the family's 1831-position model. The record is from RNAcentral. Lineage: Eukaryota; Fungi; Glomeromycota.